UUUCCGUAGGUGAACCUGCGGAAGGAUCAUUAUUGUAUAACCGAGGUGCGAGGGCUGUCGCUGACCCAAAAGGGCGUGCACGCCCGAGUGCCCUCACACACAUCCAUCUCACCCCUAUGUGCACCACCGCGUGGGUCCCCCUUUGGCUUGUUCGGAGGGGGGCUUACGUUUUCACACAAACUUUGUAUGCAGUGUAGAAUGUAUUUUUUGUUUUUGCGAUCACGCAAUCAAUACAACUUUCAACAACGGAUCUCUUGGCUCUC
This 263-nucleotide unclassified non-coding RNA is filed under the name plant metagenome. RNAcentral's name for it is "partial contains small subunit ribosomal RNA, internal transcribed spacer 1, and 5.8S ribosomal RNA". The record is from RNAcentral.